UACAGAGGUCUCAAGCGUUGUUCGGAUUCAUUGGGCGUAAAGGGUGCGUAGGUGGUGGGGUAAGUCGGAUGUGAAAUCUCCAAGCUCAACUUGGAAACUGCAUUGGAAACUACCUUGCUUGAGGAUUUGAGGGGGGAUUGGAAUACUUGGUGUAGCAGUGAAAUGCGUAGAUAUCAAGUGGAACACCAGUGGCGAAGGCGAAUCCCUGGAAAAUACCUGACACUGAGGCACGAAAGCGUGGGGAGCAAACAGG
Molecule: ribosomal RNA, 253 nt
Filed under: uncultured bacterium
Lineage: Bacteria
Description: partial 16S ribosomal RNA
Rfam family: Bacterial small subunit ribosomal RNA
Source: RNAcentral